Molecule: long non-coding RNA, 362 nt
Organism: Athalia rosae (coleseed sawfly)
Lineage: Eukaryota; Metazoa; Arthropoda; Insecta; Hymenoptera; Athaliidae
Exons: 2
Source: RefSeq, a predicted model, not a curated record
UUUUGGAAAAAUUGUGUGAUUGAUAUAAUAUAUACUUAUUAUGCGGGUCGCGCUUUAUACUUUCCAAUAAACUGGAAUUUUUUUGUUUUUCUUAUUUUAUUGUUGGUUGAGAUGUUUAUGCUUAUCAUCGUCCACUUGAAACCAUCAGCUCUGAAGGUGGCUGAUCAAGUUCGCUUCUUGGUUGAUAAGAAAUGUUUCCGUACUCUUGAAGUAACGGACAUAAUCCCAAAAGGAAGUGACAGAAAUCUUUUCUAAUUCCGAACCACCCUUAUAAAAACAUUAUGAACAAAUAUUAAAUUUUUAUCAGAAAAUGAAUUUCACGCUGUGAGAAUAUAAAAGCAAAUGUUAUUCGUUCACUUGAA